GACGAACGCUGGCGGCGUGCUUAACACAUGCAAGUCGAACGGAAAGGCCCUGCUUUGGUGGGGUGCUCGAGUGGCGAACGGGUGAGUAACACGUGAGUAACCUGCCCUUGACUUUGGGAUAACUUCAGGAAACUGGGGCUAAUACCGGAUAGGAGCUCCUGCUGCAUGGUGGGGGUUGGAAAGUUUCGGCGGUUGGGGAUGGACUCGCGGCUUAUCAGCUUGUUGGUGGGGUAGUGGCUUACCAAGGCUUUGACGGGUAGCCGGCCUGAGAGGGUGACCGGCCACAUUGGGACUGAGAUACGGCCCAGACUCCUACGGGAGGCAGCAGUGGGGAAUAUUGCACAAUGGGCGGAAGCCUGAUGCAGCAACGCCGCGUGCGGGAUGACGGCCUUCGGGUUGUAAACCGCUUUCGCCUGUGACGAAGCGUGAGUGACGGUACUGGGUAAAGAAGCACCGGCUAACUACGUG
This 468-nucleotide ribosomal RNA is filed under the name uncultured bacterium. RNAcentral's name for it is "partial 16S ribosomal RNA". It matches the Rfam family "Bacterial small subunit ribosomal RNA", at positions 28 to 507 of the family's 1533-position model. The record is from RNAcentral.